RNAcentral lists this ribosomal RNA (1474 nucleotides) under Salmonella enterica subsp. enterica serovar Javiana. Its description in RNAcentral is "partial 23S ribosomal RNA". It matches the Rfam family "Bacterial large subunit ribosomal RNA", at positions 711 to 2167 of the family's 2925-position model. Lineage: Bacteria; Pseudomonadati; Pseudomonadota; Gammaproteobacteria; Enterobacterales; Enterobacteriaceae. The record is from RNAcentral.
AGACCCGAAACCCGGUGAUCUAGCCAUGGGCAGGUUGAAGGUUGGGUAACACUAACUGGAGGACCGAACCGACUAAUGUUGAAAAAUUAGCGGAUGACCUGUGGCUGGGGGUGAAAGGCCAAUCAAACCGGGAGAUAGCUGGUUCUCCCCGAAAGCUAUUUAGGUAGCGCCUCGUGAAUUCAUCUCCGGGGGUAGAGCACUGUUUCGGCUAGGGGGCCAUCCCGGCUUACCAACCCGAUGCAAACUGCGAAUACCGGAGAAUGUUAUCACGGGAGACACACGGCGGGUGCUAACGUCCGUCGUGAAGAGGGAAACAACCCAGACCGCCAGCUAAGGUCCCAAAGUCAUGGUUAAGUGGGAAACGAUGUGGGAAGGCCCAGACAGCCAGGAUGUUGGCUUAGAAGCAGCCAUCAUUUAAAGAAAGCGUAAUAGCUCACUGGUCGAGUCGGCCUGCGCGGAAGAUGUAACGGGGCUAAACCAUGCACCGAAGCUGCGGCAGCGACACUCAGGUGUUGUUGGGUAGGGGAGCGUUCUGUAAGCCUGUGAAGGUGGCCUGUGAGGGUUGCUGGAGGUAUCAGAAGUGCGAAUGCUGACAUAAGUAACGAUAAAGCGGGUGAAAAGCCCGCUCGCCGGAAGACCAAGGGUUCCUGUCCAACGUUAAUCGGGGCAGGGUGAGUCGACCCCUAAGGCGAGGCCGAAAGGCGUAGUCGAUGGGAAACGGGUUAAUAUUCCCGUACUUGGUGUUACUGCGAAGGGGGGACGGAGAAGGCUAUGUUGGCCGGGCGACGGUUGUCCCGGUUUAAGCGUGUAGGCUGGUUUUCCAGGCAAAUCCGGAAAAUCAAGGCUGAGGCGUGACGACGAGGCACUACGGUGCUGAAGCAACAAAUGCCCUGCUUCCAGGAAAAGCCUCUAAGCAUCAGGUAACAUCAAAUCGUACCCCAAACCGACACAGGUGGUCAGGUAGAGAAUACCAAGGCGCUUGAGAGAACUCGGGUGAAGGAACUAGGCAAAAUGGUGCCGUAACUUCGGGAGAAGGCACGCUGACACGUAGGUGAAGUGAUUUACUCAUGGAGCUGAAGUCAGUCGAAGAUACCAGCUGGCUGCAACUGUUUAUUAAAAACACAGCACUGUGCAAACACGAAAGUGGACGUAUACGGUGUGACGCCUGCCCGGUGCCGGAAGGUUAAUUGAUGGGGUCAGCGCAAGCGAAGCUCCUGAUCGAAGCCCCGGUAAACGGCGGCCGUAACUAUAACGGUCCUAAGGUAGCGAAAUUCCUUGUCGGGUAAGUUCCGACCUGCACGAAUGGCGUAAUGAUGGCCAGGCUGUCUCCACCCGAGACUCAGUGAAAUUGAACUCGCUGUGAAGAUGCAGUGUACCCGCGGCAAGACGGAAAGACCCCGUGAACCUUUACUAUAGCUUGACACUGAACAUUGAGCCUUGAUGUGUAGGAUAGGUGGGAGGCUUUGAAGUGUGG